AUGAUGGUUUUCCAGGGCGACACAUUGCUCCAGAGCUGCUGUGGAAAUGGCUGGGGCAAACGAGCUGCUUUCCUGAUGGCUGCUUCAGUUUGCCAUUGGAGGAGCGCAGUGCAACAGCAACAAGAAGACCCCAAAGCAACCCAUGGUAGUGGUGUUUGUUGGGUGAGGUUUUGGCCUUUGCAGCUCAGUCCUGGAUCUGUUUGUGCAUGUGUUGAAUGGGAGCCCUGGGAUGAGGCUGGAGCAGAGAUCCAGGAAUCCUUGCUCGCAGGUGCUGGAGCACCAGGGCACUGUUUCCACAGGGAAACACCUUCCUGGAGUAGAGGUCUCCAAUCCUGUGGGAUUCAGGAAACUUGGCAGACGGUAGAGAGGGAGGAUUCAUGUUUGUGCCUACGAGCCACAGAAGAAUCCACUCUGGAGAAGCUGGGGCUUCACUGUUGGCUUCCUUCAUUGAGCCACUGGCCUGCAGGGCUGGGUUUCACCAGUUUCACGGUGUGGGUGCUCCACAGCAACAGCUCUUCCAGAGGCUGCUGGGCUUCUCUUUCCCUCCAGGGAAUUCCAGUCUCAGGUUUGGAUGUGCCAGUGCUGAGUGUGACACAGUCCUGCUGGUCCAGUGGCACAAACUGCUGCACCCCCUGCGGAUGGAACAGCGGAUGCCGCCGCUCAUUCUCGAGGUGAAGCCCUUUCCUCCUUCCUCCCUCUGCAUCCUCCUGCCCCACAGGUGACAGGAACCUACAGCCCCCAGGAGACUGAGCUGGGAUGUCCCUGCAGCCG
RNAcentral lists this long non-coding RNA (771 nucleotides) under Amazona collaria (yellow-billed parrot). RNAcentral describes it as "lncRNA (ENSACOG00000006817.1)". Lineage: Eukaryota; Metazoa; Chordata; Aves; Psittaciformes; Psittacidae. The record is from RNAcentral.